AGCAGUAGCCGCGGGAACACGGAGGGAGCUAGCGUUGUUCGGAAUCACUGGGCGUAAAGGGCGCGUAGGCGGACAGUUCAGUCGGGGGUGAAAGCCCGGGGCUCAACCUCGGAAUUGCCUCCGAUACUGGCUGUCUUGAGUAUGAGAGAGGUGUGUGGAACUCCGAGUGUAGAGGUGAAAUUCGUAGAUAUUCGGAAGAACACCAGUGGCGAAGGCGACACACUGGCUCAUUACUGACGCUGAGGCGCGAAAGCGUGGGGAGCAAACAGGAUUAGAUACCCCUGUAGUCCCUGUCUCUUAUAA
RNAcentral lists this ribosomal RNA (303 nucleotides) under uncultured bacterium. RNAcentral describes it as "partial 16S ribosomal RNA". It matches the Rfam family "Bacterial small subunit ribosomal RNA", at positions 507 to 809 of the family's 1533-position model. The record is from RNAcentral.